RNAcentral lists this ribosomal RNA (1358 nucleotides) under Rhipicera sp. DDM2261. Its description in RNAcentral is "eukaryotic LSU rRNA". It matches the Rfam family "Eukaryotic large subunit ribosomal RNA", at positions 70 to 1139 of the family's 3401-position model. Lineage: Eukaryota; Metazoa; Arthropoda; Insecta; Coleoptera; Rhipiceridae. The record is from RNAcentral.
UAGGAUUCCCUUAGUAGCGGCGAGCGAACAGGGAAGAGCCCAGCACCGAAUCCCGCGUCCGGAGACGGGCGCCGGGAAAUGUGGUGUUAGGGAGGGUCCGUCUAUCUCGAGACGGUGCGGCGAGUCCAAGUCCUUCUUGAACGGGGCCACUUACCCGCAGAGGGUGCCAGGCCCGUAGCGACCGUCGCCCGUCACGAGAGGACCUCUCCUCAGAGUCGGGUUGCUUGAGAGUGCAGCCCUAAGCGGGUGGUAAACUCCAUCUAAGGCUAAAUAUGACCACGAGACCGAUAGCGAACAAGUACCGUGAGGGAAAGUUGAAAAGAACUUUGAAGAGAGARUUCAAGAGUACGUGAAACCGUUCAGGGGUAAACCUGAGAAACCCGAAAGGUCGACGGGGGAGAUUCAACCGCGUCUCGGACGACGGAAGGCGGGGCAGACGUGACGGAGGGGGCGCGUUCGCGCGAUCCGUUCCGCUCGUUUCUUUGCCGACCGUUACCGAAUGCGUGCACUUCUCCCCCUGUAGGACGUCGCGACCCGUUGGGUGUCGGCCUAAGGCACGCGGUGGAGCCCGUGCGGACGGUUUUCCGAUCCGUGCGGACCCGCGUUCGCCCGGCCGGCUCGCUCGACGGUAUGCUGAAGAGGCGCGGGGCCGCGACACGUUCGCGUCCGGCCCGCCGCAAGUGCGGACGGUAACCCGGCUGUCGGACCUAGUGCCGGCACCGGAUCCGCCCGGCUGUUGGCGGCGGUGUCCUCGGACCGGCUCCGAACGCGCCCGUCGGCGACGCUAUCGCUUUGGGUACUUUCAGGACCCGUCUUGAAACACGGACCAAGGAGUCUAGCAUGUGCGCGAGUCAUUGGUACUCGCUAAAACCAGAGGCGAAAUGAAAGUGAAGGCCCGCCUCGCGCGGGCCAAGGGAAGAUGGGUCGCACCGCGGUGCGGCCCCGCACUCCCGGGGCGUCUCGUUCUCAUCGCGAGAUGAGGCGCACCAAGAGCGUACACGCUGGGACCCGAAAGAUGGUGAACUAUGCCUGGUCAGGACGAAGUCAGGGGAAACCCUGAUGGAGGUCCGUAGCGAUUCUGACGUGCAAAUCGAUCGUCGGAACUGGGUAUAGGGGCGAAAGACUAAUCGAACCAUCUAGUAGCUGGUUCCCUCCGAAGUUUCCCUCAGGAUAGCUGGCGCUCGCUUAGCGAGUCUCAUCCGGUAAAGCGAAUGAUUAGAGGCAUUGGGGUCGAAACGGCCUCAACCUAUUCUCAAACUUUAAAUGGGUGAGAUCUCCGGCUUGCUCGAACGUAAUGAAGCCGCGAGUAUCUCUUUUUAUUAAGUAACAGGAUCAGAGUGCCAAGUGGGCCAUUUUUG